Molecule: transfer RNA, 73 nt
Filed under: Yersinia enterocolitica
Lineage: Bacteria; Pseudomonadati; Pseudomonadota; Gammaproteobacteria; Enterobacterales; Yersiniaceae
Also listed under: 1 other name
Description: tRNA-Ala
Rfam family: tRNA
About the family: Transfer RNA (tRNA) molecules are approximately 80 nucleotides in length.
Source: RNAcentral
GGGGCUAUAGCUCAGCUGGGAGAGCGCUUGCAUGGCAUGCAAGAGGUCGACGGUUCGAUACCGUCUAGCUCCA